GACGAACGCUGGCGGCGUGCUUAACACAUGCAAGUCGAACGGAAAGGCCCUGCUCUUGUGGGGUGCUCGAGUGGCGAACGGGUGAGUAACACGUGAGUAACCUGCCCUUGACUUUGGGAUAACUUCAGGAAACUGGGGCUAAUACCGGAUAGGAGCUCCUGCUGCAUGGUGGGGGUUGGAAAGAUUCGGCGUUUGGGGAUGGACUCGCGGCUUAUCAGCUUGUUGGUGGGGUAGUGGCUUACCAAGGCUUUGACGGGUAGCCGGCCUGAGAGGGUGACCGGCCACAUUGGGACUGAGGUACGGCCCAGACUCCUACGGGAGGCAGCAGUGGGGAAUAUUGCACAAUGGGCGGGAGCCUGAUGCAGCAACUCCGCGUGCGAGAUGACGGCCUUCGGGUUGUAAACCGCUUUCGCCUGUGACGAAGCGUGAGUGACGGUAAUGGGUAAAGAAGCACCGGCUAACUACGUG
RNAcentral lists this ribosomal RNA (468 nucleotides) under uncultured bacterium. RNAcentral's name for it is "partial 16S ribosomal RNA". It matches the Rfam family "Bacterial small subunit ribosomal RNA", at positions 28 to 507 of the family's 1533-position model. The record is from RNAcentral.